Molecule: non-coding RNA, 366 nt
Organism: Scomber scombrus (Atlantic mackerel)
Lineage: Eukaryota; Metazoa; Chordata; Actinopteri; Scombriformes; Scombridae
Source: the annotation of a RefSeq genome assembly
UGGUACACGUUCGGUGGAGGAACCAGACUGGAUGUUGGAAGUGAUGUCCGUCCCACCCUGACGGUGCUGCCCCCCUCCAGCCAGGAGCUGCAGCAGGGGAAGGCCACGCUCACGUGUCUGGCCAACAAGGGCUUCCCCUCAGACUGGAGUCUGGCCUGGAAGGUGGACGGCAGCAGCAGCAGCAGCUGGGAGCAGAGCAGGAGCCCCGGGGUGCUGCAGCAGGACGGCCACUACAGCUGGAGCAGCACCCUGAGGCUCACUGCAGACCAGUGGAGGAAGGUGGGCUCUGUGACCUGUGAGGCCACCCAGGGCUCCCAGACUCCACUCUCAGAGACACUGAGGAGAGACCAGUGUUCCCAGUCCUGA